Molecule: ribosomal RNA, 429 nt
Filed under: Chloroflexota bacterium
Lineage: Bacteria; Bacillati; Chloroflexota
Description: Chloroflexi bacterium partial 16S ribosomal RNA
Rfam family: Bacterial small subunit ribosomal RNA
Source: RNAcentral
UGGGGAAUAUUGCACAAUGGGCGCAAGCCUGAUGCAGCCAUGCCGCGUGUAUGAAGAAGGCCUUCGGGUUGUAAAGUACUUUCAGCGGGGAGGAAGGGAGUAAAGUUAAUACCUUUGCUCAUUGACGUUACCCGCAGAAGAAGCACCGGCUAACUCCGUGCCAGCAGCCGCGGUAAUACGGAGGGUGCAAGCGUUAAUCGGAAUUACUGGGCGUAAAGCGCACGCAGGCGGUCUGUCAAGUCGGAUGUGAAAUCCCCGGGCUCAACCUGGGAACUGCAUUCGAAACUGGCAGGCUAGAGUCUUGUAGAGGGGGGUAGAAUUCCAGGUGUAGCGGUGAGAUGCGUAGAGAUCUGGAGGAAUACCGGUGGCGAAGGCGGCCCCCUGGACAAAGACUGACGCUCAGGUGCGAAAGCGUGGGGAGCAAACAGG